UGGAGAGGUUUCUUGGUAGGAGUCACAACUCAGGGCUUGAAAACAACUGGCUACUUGUCACCACCAUACCAUCAAAUGGCCCCACAGCCCCCCACAGACAGAAUGAGGGCAGAACCGGCUGUCACUGGGAGUUGACACAGUUGCCAGAGUUAAGGAUGAUCCCUAAACUUCUGAAAGUUGAGUGACUUAAGACCACGCCGCCAUCAUCGCCACCCAAGACAAGCUGGACGUGAACACCAGGAACCCGCGCUCCCGGGACCUGUCCCUGUGACCCGCGCCACUGGCGGCAUCCACCCCGCACUCACCCACCGCGGUGAUGCGGAAACCUCGGGGCGGCCUCAGAGCUCGGCGACGCCACGCAUCCCGCAGCACCUGCACGCAGGGCUGGGGCGCGCGCACCAGCAGCACCCCGCGCCGCAGCCAGCCGAGAAAGGCCAGCCGCGAGGCGGCGCGCGCCAGCCGUGCGUUCCAGAAGCAGCGCGCGUUGGCGCGGCGGAAGGCGCGGAAGAGCGCGCGGCCGCCCGGCUCCCCGGCCGCCUGCCCGGCCUCCCGCGGGCUCAGCACCAGCGCCAGCGAGCCCGGCGCCAGCUGCACCGGCCGUGCCAUACCGCCCGCCCGAGGGACUCGCGCUUAGUGUGCCCAACUCUGCUGUCCCGGGAGCCCGGUGCAGGGGUGGGGCGGGGCCAGGGCGGGGCUUCCCAGAGCGUCCCUGUCACUCCGGGUUACCCCAGCAACCAGAAAAGCCGGUGGCAUCGCCCAAGGGUAAGACCCGGAGGACCCAGGUCGCCCUUGGGAGGUGACCCAGGUUUGAACCUCUGCUCCGUCCCUGACAUAUCAGGCCAGUUCUCUGGCGUCUCUGGUCUUGGACCUGGCCAGACUCCUCAUCUCGCAGCAGAGGACUCUGAGGACCUUCUCAGCCUUGGUUUUCUGAAGUUCUAGGGCCCCUCCCCUAGUGUAUCCCAUUCUUUUGAGAAUUUUGAGGAAAGCAGGGUUAGCGAGCAAGAGGCGGUAGCUAAACCUUGGGACCCCACCCUGAUAAGGAUCUGGGUUCUGACUCUGCAUUCGAUCACGCCCCAGGAGCCCCAAAGGAAAGACUGAGAUCUGCCCCUGCAGACUGUAGCCGGCGGCGGUGGCGGCGUCUCAGAGCGAUAAGAACAAACACGCUGGGCCUAAACAAACUUAAACAGGAAUUAAGUCCCUGGGUCUCUGAGGAUAAAGAUCUAUUGAAAUAGGCAACAUUGGAAAAGGACAGGAUAGGCGUUGGAUUUUCUAUGAACUCGGUACUAUGAAGAGGAACUUUGGCAAGAACGAGGCUCAUUUCAGACUUCCCAUUCCCUCAUCAAUCAUCCACAAUAUCCAUAUAAUAAUCGGGGGUGGGCACAGAGAGAGACAGAGGCUCCCUAUGUCCCCAAGGCUGGCCUCAAACUCAUGAUCCACUUGUUUAUUUUUAACUACACUGACGUUAUAAUUACCAUGCGAUAACCCAUACCUCUGUCCAUAGUGAGCACACCAUCAAGCACAACUGCUAUUAAUAAUAGCCCAAUCUCACAAGUCUGUUAACUACUGCAGAUACCUCUAGUUCUAAAAUGCCAGAUGUUCUAAGACCUGAUCUUUUUUCUUUUUAAAAAGAACUUGGGGCUGGGGAUUUAGCUCAGUGGUAGAGCGCUUACCUAGGAAGCACAAGGCCCUGGGUUCGGUCCCCAGCUCCGAAAAAAAAAAAAGAAAAAAGAAAAAAAAAAUAAAAAGAACUAACGGGUGCUCACUUCGGCAGCACAUAUACUAAAAUUGGAACGAUACAGAGAAGAUUAGCAUGGCCCUUGCGCAAGGAUGACACGCAAAUUCGUGAAGCGUUCCAUAUUUUUGAACCGGAUGUAGAUCUCUCCUGAGAGACAUAGCAAGAAUACAGCAAAUACAUAGGCGAAUGCCAGCAGCAAACCACUGAACUGAGAACAGGACCCCCGUUGAAGACAUCAGAGAAAGGACUGGAAGAGCUUGAAGGGGCUCGAGACCCCAUAUGUACAACAAUGCCAACCAACCAGAGCUUCUAGGGACUAAGCCACUACCCAAAGGCUAUACAUGGACUGACCCUGGACUCUGACCUCAUAGGUAGCAAUGAAUAUCC
Molecule: non-coding RNA, 2122 nt
Organism: Rattus norvegicus (Norway rat)
Lineage: Eukaryota; Metazoa; Chordata; Mammalia; Rodentia; Muridae
Source: RefSeq, a predicted model, not a curated record